RNAcentral lists this transfer RNA (55 nucleotides) under Vipera latastei ebusitana. Its description in RNAcentral is "partial tRNA-Pro". The record is from RNAcentral. Lineage: Eukaryota; Metazoa; Chordata; Lepidosauria; Squamata; Viperidae.
UAGUUUAAGUGAGAAUACUAGCUUUGGGGGCUAGAGAUGGGGUAUCCCUUUUUGA